Molecule: transfer RNA, 76 nt
Filed under: Burkholderiales bacterium
Lineage: Bacteria; Pseudomonadati; Pseudomonadota; Betaproteobacteria; Burkholderiales
Description: tRNA-Gly
Source: RNAcentral
GCGUUCCAGCACGCGGGACGUGUCGCAGGCCUUCCAAGCCUCGCUGAGCAGGGUUCGAUUCCCUCGGGACGCUCCA